UGAAAAGAACUGAGGUGAUCAGAGUGAAAUAGAACCUGAAACCAUUUGCUUACAAUCAUUCAGAGCCCUAUGUAGCAAUACAGGGUGAUGGACUGCCUUUUGCAUAAUGAGCCUGCGAGUUGUGGUGUCUGGCAAGGUUAAGCAAACGCGAAGCCGUAGCGAAAGCGAGUCUGAAUAGGGCGCUUAGUCAGAUGCUGCAGACCCGAAACGAAGUGAUCUAUCCAUGAGCAAGUUGAAGCUAGUGUAAGAACUAGUGGAGGACUGAACCCAUAGGCGUUGAAAAGCCCCGGGAUGACUUGUGGAUAGGGGUGAAAGGCCAAUCAAACUUCGUGAUAGCUGGUUCUCUCCGAAAUAUAUUUAGGUAUAGCGUUGUGUCGUAAUAUAAGGGGGUAGAGCACUGAAUGGGCUAGGGCAUACACCAAUGUACCAAACCCUAUCAAACUCCGAAUACCUUAUAUGUAAUCACAGCAGUCAGGCGGCGAGUGAUAAAAUCCGUCGUCAAGAGGGAAACAACCCAGACUACCAGCUAAGGUCCCUAAAUCUUACUUAAGUGGAAAACGAUGUGAAGUUACUUAAACAACCAGGAGGUUGGCUUAGAAGCAGCCAUCCUUUAAAGAAAGCGUAAUAGCUCACUGGUCUAGUGAUUUUGCGCGGAAAAUAUAACGGGGCUAAAGUAAGUACCGAAGCUGUAGACUUGCACACAACUUAGAUUAUUUAAGUUUAGAAUAUAAAAAACUAAGUUAUAUGUUUUAAGUUAUAUUUUUACUGAUUUUUAUAGGGUAAAGAUAGAAAUAAAACUUAGUAAAAUCAGUAAAAAUAUUCUUAGGCUAAAGUUAAGUAGUUUAAGUUGUGUGCAAGUGGUAGGAGAGCGUUCUAUUUGCGUCGAAGGUAUACCGGUAAGGAGUGCUGGAGCGAAUAGAAGUGAGCAUGCAGGCAUGAGUAGCGAUAAUUAAUGUGAGAAUCAUUAACGCCGUAAACCCAAGGUUUCCUACGCGAUGCUCGUCAUCGUAGGGUUAGUCGGGU
RNAcentral lists this ribosomal RNA (1023 nucleotides) under Campylobacter jejuni. Its description in RNAcentral is "partial 23S ribosomal RNA". It matches the Rfam family "Bacterial large subunit ribosomal RNA", at positions 515 to 1389 of the family's 2925-position model. Lineage: Bacteria; Pseudomonadati; Campylobacterota; Epsilonproteobacteria; Campylobacterales; Campylobacteraceae. The record is from RNAcentral.